This is a long non-coding RNA of Trichosurus vulpecula (common brushtail), 544 nucleotides long. RefSeq lists it as uncharacterized. NCBI's taxonomy places the organism in Eukaryota, Metazoa, Chordata, Mammalia, Diprotodontia, Phalangeridae. The record is from RefSeq and is a predicted model, not a curated record. The transcript has 2 exons.
CAAAUCCCUCCUGUGUUGCUUCUGAUUUCUGUCUAAUAGGACAGUGGAUUCAUAACAUUUUCAGCCAUGAACUAUUAGAUAGAACAGUGAUCAGGAUGUGUUUGCUUGUUUGAGGUUGGUCUCUUUAGGAUCUUGUCCUGGAGCCAACUUAAAGGAGUGAAUUUCAUUGCCUGAGAUGUAUUGAAAAUUUAGGGAUUCUGCAGUACUCUGGAGCCAAGUUACAGCUUAGAAGAGGAGAAGGUGGGAGCUAUUAAAGACUCCUAGUUUCCAGUCACAGAGCCUAACUCAUUGGAAGGAAUGCAUUCAAUCUUGAGGAACAAGAGGUCUGUUGGUGCAACUCUCCAGCCUGUUGACCCAUGGAAGAAGAAUGACUUUGCCUCCAAGAGGAAUCACCCGGCUGCUUUCCCUGUUGAAGGUGAGGCUGAAACUGAGCUUCAGAGAAGGAGAUGACCAGUCCAAGGUCAGAGUAAUUCGAAAAGCCACGAUUGAACCCAGAUCUUUGGACUUUAAAUAAAGUGCUCUUUCUUUAUAUUUGCCACACUAA